GAUGAACGCUGGCGGCGUGCCUAAUACAUGCAAGUCGAGCGAACAGAUAAGGAGCUUGCUCCUUUGACGUUAGCGGCGGACGGGUGAGUAACACGUGGGUAACCUACCUAUAAGACUGGGAUAACUUCGGGAAACCGGAGCUAAUACCGGAUAACAUUUGGAACCGCAUGGUUCUAAAGUGAAAGAUGGUUUUGCUAUCACUUAUAGAUGGACCCGCGCCGUAUUAGCUAGUUGGUAAGGUAACGGCUUACCAAGGCGACGAUACAUAGCCGACCUGAGAGGGUGAUCGGCCACACUGGAACUGAGACACGGUCCAGACUCCUACGGGAGGCAGCAGUAGGGAAUCUUCCGCAAUGGGCGAAAGCCUGACGGAGCAACGCCGCGUGAGUGAUGAAGGGUUUCGGCUCGUAAAACUCUGUUAUUAGGGAAGAACAAAUGUGUAAGUAACUGUGCACGUCUUGACGGUACCUAAUCAGAAAGCCACGGCUAACUACGUG
This 497-nucleotide ribosomal RNA is filed under the name uncultured bacterium. Its description in RNAcentral is "partial 16S ribosomal RNA". It matches the Rfam family "Bacterial small subunit ribosomal RNA", at positions 28 to 507 of the family's 1533-position model. The record is from RNAcentral.